Molecule: ribosomal RNA, 403 nt
Filed under: uncultured bacterium
Lineage: Bacteria
Description: partial 16S ribosomal RNA
Rfam family: Bacterial small subunit ribosomal RNA
Source: RNAcentral
AUUGAACGCUGGCGGCAGGCCUAACACAUGCAAGUCGAGCGAGCGGCGGACGGGUGAGUAAUGUAUGGGGACUGCCCGAUAGAGGGGGAUAACUACUUGAAACGGUGGCUAAUACCGCAUACUAUCGGAUAACCCAUAUGGGAUUAGCUAGUAGGUAAGGUAUUGGAUUUCCUAGGCGACGAUCCCUAGCUGGUCUGUGAGGAUGAUCAGCCACACGGGGACGGAGACAGGGCCCAGAGUCCUACGGAGGCAGCAGUGGGGAUUAUUGCACAAGGGGCGCAAGCCUGAUGCAGCCAUGCCGCGUGUAUGAAGAAGGCCCUAGGGUUGUAAAGUACUGUCAGUCGGGAGGCGUUACCGACAGAAGAAGCACCGGGUAACUCCGUGCGAGCCGCCGCGGUAAUAC